AGGUGCAAUCAUACCAGCACUAAUGCUCCGGAUCCCAUCAAAACUCCGCAGUUAAGCGUGCUUGGGCGAGAGUACUACUAGGAUGGGUGACCUCCUGUGAAGUCCUCGUGUUGCACCUC
This is a ribosomal RNA of Cajanus cajan (pigeon pea), 119 nucleotides long. The record is from Rfam. Lineage: Eukaryota; Viridiplantae; Streptophyta; Magnoliopsida; Fabales; Fabaceae.